UAACCUGCCCAAGAGAUCGGGAUAACACCUGGAAACAGAUGCUAAUACCGGAUAACAACAGAUGAUGCCUAUCAACUGUUUAAAAGAUGGUUCUGCUAUCACUCUUGGAUGGACCUGCGGUGCAUUAGCUAGUUGGUAGGGUAACGGCCUAACAAGGCGAUGAUGCAUAGCCGAGUUGAGAGACUGAUCGGCCACAUUGGGACUGAGACACGGCCCAAACUCCUACGGGAGGCAGCAGCU
RNAcentral lists this ribosomal RNA (240 nucleotides) under uncultured Lactobacillus sp. RNAcentral describes it as "partial 16S ribosomal RNA". It matches the Rfam family "Bacterial small subunit ribosomal RNA", at positions 122 to 355 of the family's 1533-position model. Lineage: Bacteria; Bacillati; Bacillota; Bacilli; Lactobacillales; Lactobacillaceae. The record is from RNAcentral.